GCCGGCCCGGGGCUCUACGCCGACAUCGGCAAGAAGGCCAGAGAUCUCCUCAACAGGGACUACACCACCGGCCAGAAGUUCACCUUCACCACCACCGCCGCCAACGGAGCCACAAUUACUAGUUCAAGCACAAAGAAAAAUGAAGCUAUCUUGGCUGACCUCCAGACCCAGGUGAAGAUCAAGAAUUUCACAGUGGAUGUGAAAGCAACUUCGGACUCAAGUGUUGUAACUACAAUCACUGUUCCUGAGCUGUACACACCAGGCUUGAAGGGAGUUCUUUCUCUUCCUUUCCCCUACCAGAAGUCUACUCCUGGGAAGGCUGAACUCCAGUACUUGCAUCCCCAUCUUGGCAUCAACGGCAGUGUUGGCCUGAAUUCAAACCCUCUUGUUAACUUUUCUGGUGUCAUUGGGACUAAGGCUUUUGCUUUUGGUGUUGAUGUUGCAUUUGACACUGCCUCUGGUGACUUCACCAAGUACAAUGCUGGACUGAGCCACACUAACCAAGAUCUUACUGCUUCGUUGAAUCUGAACAACAAGGCAAACACCCUGGCUGCUUCCUACUACCACCAGGUGCAGCGCACCACUGCUGUGGGAGCAGAGAUCGCUCACAGCUUCUCAAGCAACGAGAACACCAUCACCAUUGGGACGCAGCACGAGCUGGACCCCCUGACCACUGUGAAGGGGCGUUACAACAACUUCGGCGUCGCAAGUGCGCUCAUCCAGCACGCGUGGAGGCCCAAGUCUCUCAUCACCUUCUCCACCGAGGUUGACACCAAGGCCAUUGAGAAGAGCCCCAAGUUUGGGCUGGCCCUGUCACUCAAGCCCUGA
This 828-nucleotide ribosomal RNA is filed under the name Triticum aestivum (bread wheat). Its description in RNAcentral is "partial small subunit ribosomal RNA". Lineage: Eukaryota; Viridiplantae; Streptophyta; Magnoliopsida; Poales; Poaceae. The record is from RNAcentral.